Molecule: ribosomal RNA, 497 nt
Filed under: uncultured bacterium
Lineage: Bacteria
Description: partial 16S ribosomal RNA
Rfam family: Bacterial small subunit ribosomal RNA
Source: RNAcentral
GACGAACGCUGGCGGCGUGCCUAAUACAUGCAAGUCGAACGCUGAAGCUUGGUGCUUGCACCGAGCGGGUGAGUUGCGAACGGGUGAGUAACGCGUAGGUAACCUGCCUGGUAGCGGGGGAUAACUAUUGGAAACGAUAGCUAAUACCGCAUAAGAGUAGAUGUUGCAUGACAUUUGCUUAAAAGGUGCAAUUGCAUCACUACCAGAUGGACCUGCGUUGUAUUAGCUAGUUGGUGAGGUAACGGCUCACCAAGGCAACGAUACAUAGCCGACCUGAGAGGGUGAUCGGCCACACUGGGAGUGAGACACGGCCCAGACUGCUACGGGAGGGAGCAGUAGGGAAUCGUCGGCAAUGGACGGAAGUCUGACCGAGCAACGCCGCGUGAGUGAAGAAGGUUGUCGGAUCGUAAAGCUCUGUUGUAAGAGAAGAACGAGUGUGAGAGUGGAAAGUUCACACUGUGACGGUAUCUUACCAGAAAGGGACGGCUAACUACGUG